CGCACGGGGCCAAGGUACGCACUUACAUUUUUCAGUAACUUCUUAUAUGUUGGCAACAACAUCUUGUGGCAUAUGUUUGUACUACUCAGUAGCAUUGGAUGAGAAACUUUGGCGCAAUCAGGGCGAACACAACAACAAAAAUGAGGUAAAAAUUAUUUUUGUACCUCUUGAUCUAAUUUUUCUUAAAAAUUGAUUGAUUCUAAUUCUUAAUCUUUCAAACUCAGAUUAUUAUUGGUUAGGCAUGUUGAAAGUUUAUUGUUAGAAGUCUUCUUCUACAUGACAGUUUGAAGUUCAUAUGUGCAUAGUUUCAUAUUGAGGUUAGAUAUAUUAUUGGUUGCCGGAUGGGGCAAAAGUACUCACACAAAUGGGGCAAAGGUACGCACUGCUAACGUUGGAAUGGGGCAAACGUUCGCAGUGCGUACCUUUGCCCCCAGUGAGGUAUACUUGGCAAAUGCAUGUUUCAAGUCAAUCUUCAAAGUGAAUAUCAAGUUGAGCUUGAUAUUCUAUCAGCUAAUUUUGUCUCAAUUGCAAAAUGUCUCAAAUCGGCAAAAGUACGCAUUUACAUUUUUUUUUCAAAAAGUUAUCAACACUACAAAAAUAAUGAAGAAUUUCCAUUUGCCUAAUAUGAUUACAAAAUGUAUCAAUUUCACUUUCAUCUAUACUCUGUGCCAAUUCAAGCAUUAGGAGAUUCACUAGAGAUGAAAAUAUAGAAAAUGCGUACAUUUGCCCCCACCUACCCUAUAGGUCAACGUUUGGCACAUAUAGAGAAACUCACUUUCUGAAAUUUUUAGCCCCCUAGGUGGUCACGUCACUCACCUAGAGCCUAAUUCUUUAGGCUUUUUAUGUUUUUAUUUUUUAUCUCAGCCGCAUUGAAAACUAGAGAAAAACUGUAAAUAAAAAAGUUCUGUCCGAA
This is a long non-coding RNA of Diabrotica virgifera virgifera (western corn rootworm), 913 nucleotides long. RefSeq lists it as uncharacterized. The record is from RefSeq and is a predicted model, not a curated record. Lineage: Eukaryota; Metazoa; Arthropoda; Insecta; Coleoptera; Chrysomelidae. The transcript has 2 exons.